UACGGGGGGAGCAAGCGUUGUUCGGAUUUACUGGGCGUAAAGGGCGCGUAGGCGGCCACCGCAAGUCAGUUGUGAAAUCUCCGGGCUUAACUCGGAACGGUCAACUGAUACUGCGCGGCUAGAGUGCAGAAGGGGCAACUGGAAUUCUCGGUGUAGCGGUGAAAUGCGUAGAUAUCGAGAGGAACACCUGCGGCGAAGGCGGGUUGCUGGGCUGACACUGACGCUGAUGCGCGAAAGCCAGGGGAGCGAACGGG
RNAcentral lists this ribosomal RNA (254 nucleotides) under uncultured bacterium. RNAcentral describes it as "partial 16S ribosomal RNA". It matches the Rfam family "Bacterial small subunit ribosomal RNA", at positions 524 to 776 of the family's 1533-position model. The record is from RNAcentral.